GGGAUGAACGCUGGCGGCGUGCUUAACACAUGCAAGUCAAGGGGGCCCAGCAAUGGGCAACCGGCGAACGGGUGCGUAACACGUGAGCAACCUACCGAAAUGUGGGGGAUAGCCGGCCCAACGGCCGGGUAAUACCGCAUACGCUCGAGACCAGGCAUUUGGACUCGAGGAAAUUUACGGAGCAUUUCGAGGGCUCGCGGCCUAUUAGCUAGUUGGUGAGGUAAGGCUCACCAAGGCGACGAUCCUUAGCUGGUCUGAGAGGAUGAUCAGCCACACGUGGGACUGAGACACGGCCAGACUCCUACGGGAGCAGCAGGUGGGAAUA
This 325-nucleotide ribosomal RNA is filed under the name uncultured soil bacterium. Its description in RNAcentral is "bacterial SSU rRNA". It matches the Rfam family "Bacterial small subunit ribosomal RNA", at positions 27 to 363 of the family's 1533-position model. The record is from RNAcentral.